This 253-nucleotide ribosomal RNA is filed under the name uncultured bacterium. RNAcentral describes it as "partial 16S ribosomal RNA". It matches the Rfam family "Bacterial small subunit ribosomal RNA", at positions 524 to 776 of the family's 1533-position model. The record is from RNAcentral.
UACGUAGGGGCCGAGCGUUGUCCGGAGUUAUUGGGCGUAAAGCGCGCGCAGGCGGCUUGGCGCGCCCGACGUGAAAGCCCCCGGCUUAACCGGGUAGGGUCGUCGGGUACGGCCAGGCUUGAGGGCGGGAGAGGGUGGUGGAAUUCCCGGUGUAGUGGUGAAAUGCGUAGAGAUCGGGAGGAACACCUGUGGCGAAGGCGGCCACCUGGGCCGACCCUGACGCUGAGGCGCGAAGGCGUGGGGAGCGAACGGG